This 845-nucleotide ribosomal RNA is filed under the name uncultured bacterium. RNAcentral's name for it is "bacterial SSU rRNA". It matches the Rfam family "Bacterial small subunit ribosomal RNA", at positions 56 to 902 of the family's 1533-position model. The record is from RNAcentral.
UGCAGUCGGACGGGAUUGAGGAGCUUGCUUCUCAUGAGAGUGGCGCACGGGUGCGUAACACGUAUGUAACCUACCUUGUUCAGGGGGAUAGCCUCUCGAAAGAGAGAUUAACACCGCAUAAAAUCAAUUUAUGGCAUCAUAGAAUGAUCAAAUAUUUAUAGGAACAAGAUGGGCAUGCGGAACAUUAGCUAGUUGGUAAGGUAACGGCUUACCAAGGCUACGAUGUUUAGGGGAUCUGAGAGGAUGACCCCCCACACUGGUACUGAGACACGGACCAGACUCCUACGGGAGGCAGCAGUAAGGAAUAUUGGUCAAUGGACGCAAGUCUGAACCAGCCAUGCCGCGUGCAGGAAGACGGCCCUACGGGUUGUAAACUGCUUUUGUACCGGAAUAAACCUUUUCACGUGUGAGCAGCUGAAUGUACGGUAAGAAUAAGGAUCGGCUAACUCCGUGCCAGCAGCCGCGGUAAUACGGAGGAUCCAAGCGUUAUCCGGAUUUAUUGGGUUUAAAGGGUGCGUAGGUGGCCUAUUAAGUCAGGGGUGAAAGACGGUAGCUUAACUAUCGCAGUGCCUUUGAUACUGAUGGGCUUGAAUACACUUGAGGUAGGCGGAAUGUGACAAGUAGCGGUGAAAUGCAUAGAUAUGUCACAGAACACCAAUUGCGAAGGCAGCUUACUAAAGUGUUAUUGACACUGAGGCACGAAAGCGUGGGGAUCAAACAGGAUUAGAUACCCUGGUAGUCCACGCCCUAAACGAUGAAUACUCGAUGUUGGCGAUAUACGGUCAGCGUCUAAGCGAAAGCGUUAAGUAUUCCACCUGGGGAGUACGCCCGCAAGGGUGAAACUC